GACGAACGCUGGCGGCGUGCUUAACACAUGCCAGUCGUACGGUAAGGCCCUUUCGGGGGUACACGAGUGGCGAACGGGUGAGUAACACGUGAGUAACCUGCCCACAACUUUGGGAUAACGCUAGGAAACUGGUGCUAAUACUGGAUAUGUGCUCCUGCUGCAUGGUGGGGGUUGGAAAGCUCCGGCGGUUGUGGAUGGACUCGCGGCCUAUCAGCUUGUUGGUGGGGUAGUGGCCUACCAAGGCGGCGACGGGUAGCCGGCCUGAGAGGGUGACCGGCCACAUUGAGACUGAGAUACGGCCCAGACUCCUACGGGAGGCAGCAGUGGGGAAUAUUGCACAAUGGGCGCAAGCCUGAUGCAGCAACGCCGCGUGCGGGAUGACGGCCUUCGGGUUGUAAACCGCUUUCAGCAGGGACGAAGCUUUUUGUGACGGUACCUGCAGAAGAAGCACCGGCUAACUACGUG
This 465-nucleotide ribosomal RNA is filed under the name uncultured bacterium. Its description in RNAcentral is "partial 16S ribosomal RNA". It matches the Rfam family "Bacterial small subunit ribosomal RNA", at positions 28 to 507 of the family's 1533-position model. The record is from RNAcentral.